AAGCAGCUUGCUGCUUUGCUGACGAGUGGCGGACGGGUGAGUAAUGUCUGGGAAACUGCCUGAUGGAGGGGGAUAACUACUGGAAACGGUAGCUAAUACCGCAUAACGUCGCAAGACCAAAGAGGGGGACCUUAGGGCCUCUUGCCAUCGGAUGUGCCCAGAUGGGAUUAGCUAGUAGGUGGGGUAACGGCUCACCUAGGCGACGAUCCCUAGCUGGUCUGAGAGGAUGACCAGCCACACUGGAACUGAGACACGGUCCAGACUCCUACGGGAGGCAGCAGUGGGGAAUAUUGCACAAUGGGCGCAAGCCUGAUGCAGCCAUGCCGCGUGUAUGAAGAAGGCCUUCGGGUUGUAAAGUACUUUCAGCGGGGAGGAAGGGAGUAAAGUUAAUACCUUUGCUCAUUGACGUUACCCGCAGAAGAAGCACCGGCUAACUCCGUGCCAGCAGCCGCGGUAAUACGGAGGGUGCAAGCGUUAAUCGGAAUUACUGGGCGUAAAGCGCACGCAGGCGGUUUGUUAAGUCAGAUGUGAAAUCCCCGGGCUCAACCUGGGAACUGCAUCUGAUACUGGCAAGCUUGAGUCUCGUAGAGGGGGGUAGAAUUCCAGGUGUAGCGGUGAAAUGCGUAGAGAUCUGGAGGAAUACCGGUGGCGAAGGCGGCCCCCUGGACGAAGACUGACGCUCAGGUGCGAAAGCGUGGGGAGCAAACAGGAUUAGAUACCCUGGUAGUCCACGCCGUAAACGAUGUCGACUUGGAGGUUGUGCCCUUGAGGCGUGGCUUCCGGAGCUAACGCGUUAAGUCGACCGCCUGGGGAGUACGGCCGCAAGGUUAAAACUCAAAUGAAUUGACGGGGGCCCGCACAAGCGGUGGAGCAUGUGGUUUAAUUCGAUGCAACGCGAAGAACCUUACCUGGUCUUGACAUCCACGGAAGUUUUCAGAGAUGAGAAUGUGCCUUCGGGAACCGUGAGACAGGUGCUGCAUGGCUGUCGUCAGCUCGUGUUGUGAAAUGUUGGGUUAAGUCCCGCAACGAGCGCAACCCUUAUCCUUUGUUGCCAGCGGUCCGGCCGGGAACUCAAAGGAGACUGCCAGUGAUAAACUGGAGGAAGGUGGGGAUGACGUCAAGUCAUCAUGGCCCUUACGACCAGGGCUACACACGUGCUACAAUGGCGCAUACAAAGAGAAGCGACCUCGCGAGAGCAAGCGGACCUCAUAAAGUGCGUCGUAGUCCGGAUUGGAGUCUGCAACUCGACUCCAUGAAGUCGGAAUCGCUAGUAAUCGUGGAUCAGAAUGCCACGGUGAAUACGUUCCCGGGCCUUGUACACACCGCCCGUCACACCAUGGGAGUGGGUUGCAAAAGAAGUAGGUAGCUUAACCUUCGGGAGGGCGCUUACCACUUUGUGAUUCAUGACUGGGGUGAAGUCGUAACAAGGUAACCGUAGGGGAACCUGCGGUUGGAUCACCUCCUUA
This 1466-nucleotide ribosomal RNA is filed under the name Escherichia coli. RNAcentral's name for it is "bacterial SSU rRNA". It matches the Rfam family "Bacterial small subunit ribosomal RNA". The record is from RNAcentral. Lineage: Bacteria; Pseudomonadati; Pseudomonadota; Gammaproteobacteria; Enterobacterales; Enterobacteriaceae.